AAAGGAAAUAAAUCUCCUCAGAACCAGAAGAUAGCUGCAAGGAAGAAGCCAUUCAAUGUACAGCCCGAUCCAAACUACAACUCAAACCGACCUUUACUUCAGUCCCUGACCCACACUUCACCAACCAGUUUUAAGCUCCGCAAUAGCAUAACCAACCCAAAUUGCCUCCCAACUCCAGCAUCUCCGUUCAUAGGACCACUCUGGGA
Molecule: long non-coding RNA, 206 nt
Filed under: Elaeis guineensis (African oil palm)
Lineage: Eukaryota; Viridiplantae; Streptophyta; Magnoliopsida; Arecales; Arecaceae
Description: long non-coding RNA (EGUI_LNC026574)
Source: RNAcentral